Long non-coding RNA from Columba livia (rock pigeon), 5784 nucleotides. RefSeq lists it as uncharacterized. Lineage: Eukaryota; Metazoa; Chordata; Aves; Columbiformes; Columbidae. The record is from RefSeq and is a predicted model, not a curated record. The transcript has 3 exons.
CAGAAAAAAAAGCAUUUGCUAACUCAUUUUGUCAGAUCUUUGAGGUACAAGACUAAAUGACUUGCUGCUGUAAUGAAGCAGGUCUUUGUAGUUUCUUUGUAAUACUCCAUGAACAGUAUUUGCUGCCUCAUUAGCAAACACAGAGAAAAUGUAAAGCUGUGGUUCCUCUUGUGUUAAACUUUCCAUUUAAGGAUUUUGCCAUGUUUCUAGCAAAAUAACCAUUCCAGUGGUCAUGCUGUUUCAACAACUGUACCAGCUGCAGCUAUUCUGAGCAGCACAGAUCAGCAGGUCCCAAAUUAUAUGUGUGUGUGUAUAUAUAUAUAUAUACACACACAUAUACAUAUACAUUUACCUAACAGAUUACUGAACAGAUUUUUUUUACCUAACAUUACUUUUUUCACAAACUGCUAUGACCAUUUUCAUCAGACUCACUGUUGGGUUGCCAGUAGUUAUGGUUCUGUUGACCAUGGCCAUGUUUCACAGUUUGGGAACCCCUGAGAUGGCACAGCAGUUAAAAAGGCUGACAGGAACUUAUACUCUUAAUACAACUACUUUUGCACUUACUGCAGUUUUUAAGAAACAGUUAUGCUGUUUCUUGUGAGUUAGCUUUUCAAAAUGUGUUUUAUUGAACUCUUGGAGUAACAUUGAAGAUUUUCAUUUCAUAAUCAUAAAUAAAUUCACAAGGAACUCACAAUUUACUGGAGAAAAAAAAUAAAGAGUUGUUAAGCAAAAGAAAACAUUCCUAUGGAAUUUUGAUCAUAUCUACAGUUCGGCUUGAUCCUUCUGUGCUAUAAUUGUCUACAGUACCUUUACGAGAGGUUUCCAGCAGAGAUCUAGAUGCUUAGAAGUAUCUGGAACAUCAAAGGGCAUACCAAAAAUGUCCUCCUCCUUUAAUUUCUCAGAUGAAGAUUUCAUGGCUGGAUUAUUCCAAAAUAAUAUUGAGCUGCAAAACAAUUGUAUAAUGUUAUUCCCUGUUUCUGUGUAAGUCAGAUGCAGGUUUCCAUACAUUUUAAAGUUUGUUUGUUUUUUUUUUUUUUAGCUUUUCAUCUUCUAACUUAACAUAGCAGACAAAUGCUAGAUACUUAAUUGCUUCCUUUGUAAAUGAUGGCAUAUAUUCCUUUUUUCAAUGUUUCAUCAAUUCUUACCUAUACCAAAGCAGCAAGAGAGCAUCCAUACAGUUUGCUUAUGGAAAGCUACUGGGUGAGGUUCCUGGCACUACCUGGGUGAAAUUCCCGAAGGCUACGAGAACUGGACAGAAGAACUCUGUAGCAGGUAAUCUAGUAAUUCAAAUGGAACCUGAUUCCCAGUUCUCGUGCGUAACAAUUCAUUUGCUGACAUUCAAGGCAAACAGUUCCACUCACUUGAAUCUGUCAUCUCAUCACAGUUUUCAGCCCUCUGAUUGUUCCUGUUGCUCUACUCUGGUCGUUCAUUCACAGAUUCAAUAUAGACAAUGAUAAUUUUCCUCAUUACUGACAUCUCUCCCUUUCCUAUCAGGAGUUGCUCAGGGACCUGUGCUAUUCAAGGAUGACAUUUCAGUGACUUCCCUGCUCUUAUUUUGGAUGAAUACUUUUAAUCUGGAGCCCUAGUGUUGCUGCUCAUCCAAUGCAUCUACUCUGCUAUAGUCAUCCAGUAACACUGACAAUAUGCAUGAUGUUUCUGGUACACCCUUCACUAUACCAGGAUAAAAUGAACAGCUGGGAAAGGCCAAGCUCCAUUGCAGAGCUGGACAGAGCAGGCAGCACGCUGCCACCAAAGACACUGCCAGCACCAUCAUGUGGAAAGUGCACACACAGCAGGUGACGAAACAACUAAGUCGGGAUGGCCCAAAUUCUGUUGGAAGUGUUAAUGUUAUUAUUGAACAGCUGGAGGCCUCCAGCUGGGAUAAGAACAAUGAGACUCUCAGUUUGCUUGUGUCCUCCCUCUUCCAUGUUCCCACCUUUUAUGAAGACUGUAAACUGACUGGGAGAGGAACCAUUUUGUAAAUGUCUACAAAGCACCUGCAGUGUUUGGAUGCUAUUAUAAUUUUAACAUAACAAGAGGAAAGCAGAUGCACUUAUAAGACAGAGAGAUGACACCUUCAAGAACUGUGUCAGGACAUAACUAUCUCUGAUGAACUCUUACAGGAGCUACAGCCUCUCUGCCUGCACAUGUGAACAGCCCAUUCACUGUCAAGAUGCUUAAGGUGAAAAGGUGGGUUUAUAAAAUACAUGUUCUAUCUUGAGACUUUCCCAAUGAAAGGCCUAAAAUAGUGAGAGUAUUAAAAUAAACAUGCUGUGGCCUGUGCAUUUGCAGUUCAGUGGUUGUCCUGCCUUUGGUAUGGUCUUUCAUCCCCAGACUGAGAAACAGUGGUUUUCUGUUUUGUAACACAGCUCUCAAAUACUCCAAAGCAAGGAACAGAGUUUUAGCUUCCAAUCAGAAUUUUAGUUUUGAGAUGACCACUGAUGGCAAAACAUAGUUCACAGAUUAUAGCCUGGUGGUAUAGCUUGGGUUUGGGUUCUAUGUUAACUUCCCAUGCAUUUGAGGUCAAUUGUGGUGUUGACUUCAAAAGGAGCAGAGUGUGACAGGCAUUUUGUGACAGUUGUGCAUUUUUCUUUUUCUCUCCAAUCAAACCAGAAAAAUAUACUCUAUAAAUAUACUCUAGAAAUCCUCAGGCUCUUUUCUCCGUCAUACUGGAUCUUGCAGAUCACAGGUGACAAGAUGCAUCUGUGGGAUGAUAGUGCUUUUCUCUGCUGUUUGAUGACUAUGGCAAAGACAGCCCCCUUCAUUAAUCCAUCUGAAGAACUGUAACAAUUUAAUCUUCCGGGUUUUUUUUUUUCCAAAAAGUGAAGAUAAUGCCAAUGCAAAACAGAUUAAUGUUUCAGAAUUCUGAAACUUUUGCCUUGCAAAGGAUGAUGUUUUUGGAAGAUUAAAAAACCACAUAAGUAAUGUGUGAUGAACGUAAGGAGAAAGGAGUUUUUUCUGCCCUCAUUCUCACUGUCCUUUCAGCAAAUACAGGACUACAAACAUUGACAAUAUAUUUACGGGUAACAUUCAAUGUAUUUUUCCAGUUAUGAUCUUUCAAAAGAGCCUCAACAUUGUACCAUAUGCUUAGUUUAUAUUUCUGAGACACUUAAGGCUGCCUAACUUGAGUGUAUGUCAUUUCAGAUGAUCAAAAGAGGCUAAUUUUCCCUUAUCUAAAACAAACAAACAAAAAAGUGCAAAGCUAUUUCUUAUCCAUUUCCUUGCAUAUUUUACACUUAAAAAAAUAAUCGUGACCCAUCUUAUAAACGCAUUCUAUAACUACUCUAAUUUGAAACCAACCUUGACACUCUUGGAUAAAAGAGACAGCCCUGUAGCAUACGAGAGGCCAGCUGUUUUAGAAAUUGGUUGAAGGACAAUAUAAACCAUAUCAUAUAUAUUAUAGUCACAUUGUCUUACUUCACCAUUUCCUAAUUAUACAUUGAAACAAAGCCCAUUUGGAAAUGUUGAGUUCUUCUGAGUAACCUAAACCCUAAGUCACAUGAACAGAGGAAACAGUGAGCAGCCUGAGAUAAGUCACAUGCCUAUGUUUAGUGCACCAACUUGCAAGUAAAAACAUGCCUUUUGCCUCAUCAGAAUUCAAGUAUAUUUUUCUUAUAAAAACACUUAAAACUUUUGAAAAUUGUCUCCCAAUAAUGCAGUUCCUCCUCCUUUACUGAAAGAAUCAGGAGCAGACGUGCACACAGCACUAUACAGAUAAGGGCAGUGCUGGGGAAGGCAGUGUCAGUGAGUGUAUGUACAUACACACAUUAAUACAAGAAGCAUCCCUCUUUAAGGGUUGCAAAUUAUGCAACCAAUACGACUGCUCGUGGUUCCAUCUGUGAUGCACAGAACCUCACCAACUGGAAAGCAGACAAAAACAGAAAGGAACUAUCUCCUUUUACAAUAUCCCUAACACCGUAUCGUCUCUGCCCAUUUGUCAUCCUGUGGGCAUGUGAUUGUCACUGGUUCAGAGACAUGUAAGGCCUCCAAAGAGAACAAAGGCAGAACCCAAAAAUCUUCUCUGGAAGCAUAAUCAAGCCCACAGCCAUUUACAAAGUAUGUAUGCAAAGUUGGUUUUGGGUUUUGUUUUGUUUUUAUUUUCAUACAGGAUUACGCUACUAACCCCCAGGUGCUCCCUGUAGGAAGACAAUACACACUGGGAACUUUAAAAUAGGUACUGAAGAGCAAUCUUUUGCACCCCUCCUUUGCCAAAGAAAUAAGUAAGGGAAUGAAAAUCCUGAUGGUUCUUAAUGUGUAAGAGAAAAUAUAGUAUUUUCAGAAGUUACCUCUUACUUCAGGGGUUUGGUUUUUUUCCAUUCCAUAAGUUUUUACACAAAGUAUCAAAUUCUAUCCAGAACUUAAUGAAAACAAAAAAAAAGUGUUUGUACUAGAGGACUAUCUGAAAACAUGACAAAAAAGUUAAUUUCUUUAAUCUGUAGUUAUUUCCUAUCCCCUUCUAUGUUGCUUAUUUAGAAAGGACUCUAAUAUGCAUAUUUGUCCAGAAACAUGCAAAUGUAUUAUAUGUAUAAAUGUAUUAUAUACCUAAAUGAUUCUAUGGUUGAGAACAGAGGUUGGAAACAACAUUUAAAUUAGCAUGACUUUAAAAAUGUAACAAUGCAAAACCUACAAAAAACAAUAGCUCUUGAAAACUGGUUGUCUUAAACACUGGCACAUAGUUUAUUUUUUAAAAGUAGGUAAUGUAUUAUAUUAAAAUGUGAUUACAUACAUUCAGUCUAAUUUUUCAGCAAUUUUUCCAUGGAACACAAUGUUGCAUUAUUUAAUUGAUAAAACCUAAGUAAAUAUUUGACAACGUUGUUUGACGUUUUGUAGCCUAUUUUAUUUAUAGAUAGCUGUAAUAUUUUGAAUGUUAGGCUCAAGAGAAAAAAUAGGAUCAGAAUGCUCUCCUAAUCAUUUAAUGUACUGAAACAUUUACAUUUAUAAAACAAAUCCACAAAGUUGCUAGGUACUGCAAAAGGGGAAAGUUAAUUAGCUGUCGGUACUGCGAAAGGUGCUGUCUGAGUUGAGGACAGAGAAUGAUUCAUUAGUUGCCUAAUUGGAUGAUUUGAGGUCAAUCCUGCGUGCAUUACUAAUUUAGCACUGUAAUUAACUAUAAUUUGGAAUGACAGAAGAAUUGAGUGCAUUGCCAUUUAACAAAAGCACUACAAGGAGUUUACCAAAAUGUGCUGCUUGCUUUUUUGUUUUUAUGUCACUAUCAAGCUGAAAAUCACAUUUCUGUCAGUAAACAUUUAGGAACUCUUUAAAAAUACUACCUCUCCAGAAAUUCGCGUACAAUGUUCCCUUUGUUUGAAUGUACCUGAUUUCACACAUACAACUUCUCAACAACUUGAAAGAGGUGUAGAUUUGUUAUUUGAUAGAAAUCAGUAGAGAUAAUUACAUGCUCUGGGAUGAUAAGUACAAUAUGUGUAAAUUUAGGUUAAGAAUUAAUAAGAAAGGCAUAGGGAACAAAAUGGAAAACUUCAUUAAAACAUUAGACAAUACUGUGUUCUCUUUCUCUCUUUUAUUCCAUUCAAACAGAAUAGAAUUAGAGAAGGUAUAACAUGGAUGAUUGAAGAUAUGGAACAUGUUUUGUGCUAGGAAUAAAAUAGGAUUCUUUUUAGCCUGGACUGAAGAGAGGAUAUGAGAGAAGUCAACAAAAUCAUGGGAGGCCUGGAGAAAGUGACCGGGGGAUGAUUAUUCACAGUCUUUCGUAAUACCAGAUCCAGCUGGCAUCACAUGAGCUUACCAAGGGACAGACAAACAAAAGGAGUACAAAAGUAUUCCAUU